This 544-nucleotide ribosomal RNA is filed under the name uncultured Glomus. RNAcentral's name for it is "SSU rRNA". It matches the Rfam family "Eukaryotic small subunit ribosomal RNA", at positions 569 to 1107 of the family's 1831-position model. Lineage: Eukaryota; Fungi; Glomeromycota; Glomeromycetes; Glomerales; Glomeraceae. The record is from RNAcentral.
AGCAGCCGCGGUAAUUCCAGCUCCAAUAGCGUAUAUUAAAGUUGUUGCAGUUAAAAAGCUCGUAGUUGAAUUUCGGGAUCAAUUUGUUGGUCGUGCCUCGGUACGUACUGGCAUUAUUGGUUUCUACCUUCUGAAGAACCUUGAUGUCAUUAAUUUGGUGUCUUGGGGAAUCAGGACUGUUACUUUGAAAAAAUUAGAGUGUUUAAAAGCAGGCAUACGCUUGAAUACAUUAGCAUGGAAUAAUGAAAUAGGACGUUUGAAUUCUAUUUUGUUGGUUUCUAGGAUCGACGUAAUGAUUAAUAGGGAUAGUUGGGGGCAUUAGUAGUUCAAUUGUCAGAGGUGAAAUUCUUGGAUUUAUUGAAGACUAACUACUAGCGAAAAGCAAUUUGCCAAGGAUGUUUUCAUUAAUCUAAGAACGAAAGUUAGGGAUCGAAAGACGAUCAGAUACCGUCUAGUCUUAACCAUAAACUAUGCCGUACUAGGGAUCGGAUGAUGUUAUUUUUAAUGUACUCUAUUCGGACGCCUUACGGGAAACCAAGGUUAC